GAAGCAGCUAUCACAGGGUCUGGAACAUAGUACAUCCCAGCCUUCUUGCACAUAGAAACACUACACAGCACUUCAGCUGUAUGUUUGGGGGCCAUUUUAAACAGCAAAAUCAUCAACAGGAAGCAGAAAAUUGUAAAAAUUGUGGCACUAAAUAGACCAUGUAAAGGACACAUGUUUGCAAUAAGAAAGCUGAAACAAGAAGGGGGAGUGUCACCUUAUUUGAUCCAGCUAGAAACUCAGGUGCUGGUAUUCCAGCAACACUCAGGCGGCUGCUCCAGGAGGCUGCAGAGGGGUCCUUUUUAGCCGUCAACAAAACUGGCUAUGGUCACGCCCAUUGGGAAACUCAUUGCUGCCUUCAAGGACUCAGAAGCUGUAGGAAUAUUCAGGCACAGACACCAGACCCAGCUUCAUCUCUAACUUGUGGCAAAGGACAGUACAUCCUGGGAUGGGACCCUAUGCUCCCCUAUGCCAUUUAGACAGAGCCUGGGGAGAGUGACUUCCCAGGGUAUCCAUGUUGGAAUCUCUCAUUUGAUUCUUAUUCAAAUUUAGGUUCUGUCAAUAGAAGAUACUAAAGAAAGAAAGCCAGGAGAAGAAAAGGGACUUCUUUCUUCAAGGUCUAAGCUGUUCUAAUAGCAUUAUUCUGGGAAUGGCAUCUUCCACUCCUCCUAGUACAAAGAACCUGCUUCCUCAUACCCCGUCAAGGAACUGCAGCAUCCAGGUACUUUCUCUGCCUCAAAGGUCUGCAUCCCAUUCUCCAUUUGGCCCCUCCUUUGAACUACCAGAUCUCCGGCUGGAUUGCCUUUUUGUUCUGGAAUUUUCUAAAUUUCUUUAUUAAAUUUCCCAGUUGAAAU
RNAcentral lists this long non-coding RNA (851 nucleotides) under Homo sapiens (human). RNAcentral's name for it is "long intergenic non-protein coding RNA 1905". The record is from RNAcentral. Lineage: Eukaryota; Metazoa; Chordata; Mammalia; Primates; Hominidae.